GGUUCACAGGGGAGAUCUGGUUGAGGCAAGAGAUGUGCAUUGGGAUUGGGAUCCCAUUGGAUACAGCAAAAAAAAAAAAAGUUUCCUCUCUCUCUCUCUCUUUCUCUCUCUCUCACACACACACACAGAGAAAAAUUUUUAGGUUAGUAAUGUUUGAUUUUCAGUGAGCCCAAACGUGUUUUAAAACCAUGCCGAGUGAUAUUUGGAGAGGAUUUAGAGAAUUCGAGAGGAAGUAGGCAGUGCUGUGUGGAGUGGAACGGCCUUCCCGGUCAUUUAACCUUAUCCUGUCCAGCUGCUCUGCUCUGGUGGAGUCAGAUCAAGGCUACUACAUCAAACAGUAAUUGGGAACUGAGCGCAGGUAGGAACUAAAGACUGAAGUCGGGAGAGGGAACUGAAGACCACAUGCACCAGAGGAUUCGAGCCAGUCGUACAGAUGUUUCGCUUUACGGCGUCGUACCUAAUUUGCAUCGAACUGAGAAAAUCUCAAAAUUGUUAUAGAAAUCUAUAUAUUUGUAUUUCCUUGUACUACGAAGAAUACAUUUGAGUUUUCAUAAGAAAAUGAGUUAUAGAUUGUUAAAUAAGUAUAUUUUUUAUAUUUUGUUGUGAAUAUUGUAUGAAUCCUAUAUUUGCACACGCAUAUCUAACACUUUAAAAGACUUCGAUCGCGAACUCCUGCGUCCACGCCAACACCGUGAGCAACUAACUGAACUAUUCAGCUAUUAUAUUACCUAUUAUAGCUAACUAAACUAAAACUUUUGUGUUCAAGACCAAAUUUCCUCUAAUGAUCAGGACGGAUUAGACUUUACGCAAGCGUUGCACUAAUUGUUAAUGAUUAUUGGGUAUUGUACAAAUACACUGAUCUUUCAUAAUUUUCCCUUUAGUAGUAGUAAUAACUUCAUAACUUGAAAUGUUUACUAAAUAGGUAAAGUUGAAAAAACAGAGACUUCAUUUUCCAAGUCGGAGCUAUAAUCGCAUGGUCCCAGGAAUUUCUAUGGUCCAAAUCCAAAUUAUUAUUAUUAUUUUUUAAUUAUUAUUAUUGAUUGUUCAGGGCAGUUAGGCUGUAGAUUCAGUUAGAACCUAAUUUGCAUGAAAUUUCAUCACAUCACUCACUCAUGAUUAAUCCUACAAAUGUAUUUGUAUAAAAAAAAAUAUAUUUAUUGUGCAAAAACUUCACAGGGAGAAGAAUGGAGAAAAAAUUUGUAAGCUAGCUAGGAGACUUUCUGUAAGAAUUAAUUGUGCAUUUUCUAAGUAGGGCUUAAAUUUGAAUGGACGCAAUGAAAACAAAUUGGGAAAUCUACAAAUGUUGGGAAAAAAAAAAAAAACCUACAAUGUUUGCACGAGACCAGGUUGAUCAGACUUUAUUUUGCAAAAAGCUACAGUAGAAAUAAUUGUGCAAUUUUUUAAAUUUUUUUUCAAACACAAGAUCAAUUAUAAGACUUUAAAAUCCAAAGUCACACAUUUUAAUCACUAAUUUAACCAGAGUUUCAUUUAGUGUGACUGUCAUGAAAAAAAAAAGAAAAGAAAAAAAAAAACACUGAUCUUUAUAGACAAAUAGCAAGAGUAGUAUGAUUUAAACUGGUAUAAAAAUAAAUACUGAUUUUUUUUAUUUAUAAUUCUGAUACUAGUGGAUAUUUUUUAAGAUUGGGAUAUUUUUGUUACCUGCUGAAUGAAAGUACCUAUAGUUUUAUAUUUUUAAACACAGUUUUUGAUUGUAAAAAUCUUGUACUAAAAAUGGUUGUACUUUUUUUUUUUUAACCAGUUUGUUAGUCAUUAAUUUUUGCCCCCCCGAUGUACUGUAGCCGAUGUUCGCUGUCACAUUCUUGCCUCAACUUCUGUAUAUAAUGUGUAUACUCACCUGCAUUUUUUUACAGUAAAUCCAUUUUACCUUU
Molecule: long non-coding RNA, 1889 nt
Organism: Pangasianodon hypophthalmus (striped catfish)
Lineage: Eukaryota; Metazoa; Chordata; Actinopteri; Siluriformes; Pangasiidae
Exons: 2
Source: RefSeq, a predicted model, not a curated record